This 647-nucleotide ribosomal RNA is filed under the name Salmonella enterica. RNAcentral describes it as "partial 23S ribosomal RNA". It matches the Rfam family "Bacterial large subunit ribosomal RNA", at positions 1141 to 1781 of the family's 2925-position model. RNAcentral also lists the same sequence under 1 other name. The record is from RNAcentral. Lineage: Bacteria; Pseudomonadati; Pseudomonadota; Gammaproteobacteria; Enterobacterales; Enterobacteriaceae.
CUCACUGGUCGAGUCGGCCUGCGCGGAAGAUGUAACGGGGCUAAACCAUGCACCGAAGCUGCGGCAGCGACACUGUGUGUUGUUGGGUAGGGGAGCGUUCUGUAAGCCUGUGAAGGUGUGUCGUGAGGCAUGCUGGAGGUAUCAGAAGUGCGAAUGCUGACAUAAGUAACGAUAAAGCGGGUGAAAAGCCCGCUCGCCGGAAGACCAAGGGUUCCUGUCCAACGUUAAUCGGGGCAGGGUGAGUCGACCCCUAAGGCGAGGCCGAAAGGCGUAGUCGAUGGGAAACGGGUUAAUAUUCCCGUACUUGGUGUUACUGCGAAGGGGGGACGGAGAAGGCUAUGUUGGCCGGGCGACGGUUGUCCCGGUUUAAGCGUGUAGGUGUGUGUUCCAGGUAAAUCCGGUUCACUUUAACACUGAGGCGUGACGACGAGGCACUACGGUGCUGAAGCAACAAAUGCCCUGCUUCCAGGAAAAGCCUCUAAGCAUCAGGUAACAUCAAAUCGUACCCCAAACCGACACAGGUGGUCAGGUAGAGAAUACCAAGGCGCUUGAGAGAACUCGGGUGAAGGAACUAGGCAAAAUGGUGCCGUAACUUCGGGAGAAGGCACGCUGACACGUAGGUGAAGUGAUUUACUCAUGGAGCUGAA